GCGCCCGUAGCUCAGUUGGAUAGAGCACAUGCCUUCUAAGCCUGUGGUCGGACGUUCGAAUCGUCUCGGGCGCGCCA
RNAcentral lists this transfer RNA (77 nucleotides) under Mycoplasmataceae bacterium. RNAcentral describes it as "tRNA-Arg". It matches the Rfam family "tRNA". From Rfam's summary of the family: Transfer RNA (tRNA) molecules are approximately 80 nucleotides in length. Their secondary structure includes four short double-helical elements and three loops (D, anti-codon, and T loops). The record is from RNAcentral. Lineage: Bacteria; Bacillati; Mycoplasmatota; Mollicutes; Mycoplasmatales; Mycoplasmataceae.